UCUUUUUCAGAUGAGUUAGUAAUACCUGAUAAGCUCACAAGACAAGAAAAUACAAAUCAAAAAGGGAAAACUUCCAACCAGCUAAGGACAUUUUGGGAAAGACAACCUACUGACAUUGUCGGUCGUCUCCGAAAGGUGGCUUUUGCACAAAACGAGUAUACUACACCAAUUUUCAGAGCAGAAUAUACAGAAUUCAAACCAAAACAUCCGGUGAGUCCUAUUACUGUAGUCUGGUAAUUAUAUUCAAUUAUAAACCAAUUAUAUUCAUUUACCAGGUAUCUCCAAUACUACAUAUGCAUAUCUAUGUAUAUUUGAGUAUACAUAAAUAACAUAUAUUUUUGUCUCAAACCAGAAUUAGUAAAUGGCUGACUACUUUUAAAAAUAUGUAUUUCCAAAAUCA
RNAcentral lists this long non-coding RNA (400 nucleotides) under Cricetulus griseus (Chinese hamster). RNAcentral describes it as "lncRNA (ENSCGRG00015033054.1)". The record is from RNAcentral. Lineage: Eukaryota; Metazoa; Chordata; Mammalia; Rodentia; Cricetidae.